UACGAAGGGGGCUAGCGUUGCUCGGAAUCACUGGGCGUAAAGGGUGCGUAGGCGGGUCUUUAAGUCAGGGGUGAAAUCCUGGAGCUCAACUCCAGAACUGCCUUUGAUACUGAAGAUCUUGAGUUCGGGAGAGGUGAGUGGAACUGCGAGUGUAGCGGUGAAAUUCGUAGAUAUUCGCAAGAACACCAGUGGCGAAGGCGGCUCACUGGCCCGAUACUGACGCUGAGGCACGAAAGCGUGGGGAGCAAACAGG
Molecule: ribosomal RNA, 253 nt
Filed under: uncultured bacterium
Lineage: Bacteria
Description: partial 16S ribosomal RNA
Rfam family: Bacterial small subunit ribosomal RNA
Source: RNAcentral